CACGUAGGGCGCGAGCGUUGUCCGGAAUUAUUGGGCGUAAAGAGCUCGUAGGCGGCCUGUUGCGUCCGCUGUGAAAGCCCGGGGCUUAACCCCGGGUCGGCAGUGGAUACAGGCAGGCUAGAGGUAGGUAGGGGAGAAUGGAAUUCCCGGUGUAGCGGUGAAAUGCGCAGAUAUCGGGAGGAACACCGGUGGCGAAGGCGGUUCUCUGGGCCUUACCUGACGCUGAGGAGCGAAAGCGUGGGGAGCGAACAGG
This 253-nucleotide ribosomal RNA is filed under the name uncultured bacterium. Its description in RNAcentral is "partial 16S ribosomal RNA". It matches the Rfam family "Bacterial small subunit ribosomal RNA", at positions 524 to 776 of the family's 1533-position model. The record is from RNAcentral.